CGAGUUCAAUGUGUCCUAAUGACUCUCGGCAACGGAUAUCUCGGCUCUCGCAACGAUGAAGAACGUAGCAAAAUGCGAUACGUGGUGUGAAUUGCAGAAUUCCGUGAACCAUCGAGUUUUUGAACGCAAGUUGCGCCCGAAGCCAUUCGGUCGA
Molecule: ribosomal RNA, 154 nt
Rfam family: 5.8S ribosomal RNA (bases 21-154)
About the family: 5.8S ribosomal RNA (5.8S rRNA) is a component of the large subunit of the eukaryotic ribosome. It is transcribed by RNA polymerase I as part of the 45S precursor that also contains 18S and 28S rRNA. Functionally, it is thought that 5.8S rRNA may be involved in ribosome translocation.